UCGGAUACAUUACAAAGAGAAUCGGACCUUUGUAUUUUCCUUUGAUAUUUCAUUUCUAUUUUCUGCAUCUCCUUUGCUUUCAUGUUACUUUCUUUUUCGCGGCAAUAUAAUAGAAUAGAUAUUGAUGUGAACGUUACAUAGUUCAUGAUGCAGAACUUUUUCAGUUCAUCCAAUUGGCUUGGCUCAUACGAAAAAAGUAUUGUUCAAAAUUUACAAUCUCAAUGAAUCCUUACCCAAAUCUUUUUUG
This 247-nucleotide long non-coding RNA is filed under the name Arachis ipaensis. Its description in RNAcentral is "long non-coding RNA (AIPA_LNC000619)". The record is from RNAcentral. Lineage: Eukaryota; Viridiplantae; Streptophyta; Magnoliopsida; Fabales; Fabaceae.